AGCUGCAGACUGGGCCCCGGACAGAUCCCCAAGAGACGCACUAUAUACGGAUGAUCCAGACUGCCCAUGGACAGCAUGUGCUGCGUACGGGAGGAGAGAGGGGAAAAGCUGAUAUAAGUGACAGUAACACAUGUGCCAAAGACUCCUGAUCCCAGAAGCUUUCCCUUGCGCAGUUCUGAAGCUCUCAGAAUCCGAGCGUGGACCUUCGUCCCCUUCUCACCUGGAUCCAGCGGCUCGAUGCUCUGUGGGAGAAUCAGAGUUCCUGUUUACUGCAACUGCACAGCUUCAAAAGUAUGUGGACACCUGACCAUCUCACUUAUGUGAGGCAACAAUAGGCAUUCAUAUGAAAAUGCAUUUACUUUGUGUCUGACCACUUCAUAUAUUCCAUUAUAAAUAUUAGAAUAUGGGAAUUUGUACCCAUUUAGUGAAAUUGGAAUCGGUUAGGCACUGAUGCUGAAUAAGAAGACCUGGCUUGUAAAAUAAGGUCAGGGUAACUAUUUUCAUAAUUUUCAUAUAAUCAUUUUUUAUGACCGGCUUGUGUAUUUAGGUAAAUCGUGAAAAUUGUGCCCCUCAGAGUUAUUAAUUGUAUUUACUGUCUACUAUUUGUUUUGCCAAAGAUCUUUGUGAGUUGGAUUUAAGACAUUUUAAGGCCUUUUUCUGCAGAUACCCUGUAUGUAGGCUACUUUUAUAAAAGAAAUCCCAGCAAAUACUAAUAAAAAAACUAAUACAUUCA
Long non-coding RNA from Astyanax mexicanus (Mexican tetra), 733 nucleotides. RefSeq lists it as uncharacterized. The record is from RefSeq and is a predicted model, not a curated record. NCBI's taxonomy places the organism in Eukaryota, Metazoa, Chordata, Actinopteri, Characiformes, Acestrorhamphidae. The transcript is spliced from 3 exons.